AAAAAGAUAAACCCUGGUUUCCGUGUUCAACGUUUGACCAUCCGUCUUAUUUGAAAAAAUUAUAAAAAAAAUUAAAAAGACAAGUCACGCAUAAAAUAUUAAUCAUGUUUUAUCAUCUAACAACAAUGAAAAUAUAAAUUAUAAAAAAAAUUUAUAUAAGACGAAUAGUCAAAGUUGGACACGGAAAUCUAGAGUUUGUCUUUUU
This 205-nucleotide microRNA precursor is filed under the name Oryza barthii. RNAcentral describes it as "MIR812 microRNA precursor family". It matches the Rfam family "MIR812 microRNA precursor family". Lineage: Eukaryota; Viridiplantae; Streptophyta; Magnoliopsida; Poales; Poaceae. The record is from Rfam by way of RNAcentral.